This is a non-coding RNA of Hypoxylon sp. NC1633, 113 nucleotides long. Lineage: Eukaryota; Fungi; Ascomycota; Sordariomycetes; Xylariales; Hypoxylaceae. The record is from the annotation of a GenBank genome assembly.
GGUUUGGUGGUCUAGUGGUAUGAUUCUCGCUUAGGGCAAACCCUUGGUUUAUAGCUGCAAUACAUGUAUGCUAUGCUUGCGAGAGGUCCCGGGUUCAAUCCCCGGCCAAACCC